UCCCUCGUGGCGCAAUUGGCUAGCGCGUUCGACUGUUAAUUUAUAGCAUACAGAUAAAUCGAGAGGUUCGUGGUUCGACCCCACGCGAGGGAG
Sclerotinia sclerotiorum is the source of this 93-nucleotide transfer RNA. It matches the Rfam family "tRNA". From Rfam's summary of the family: Transfer RNA (tRNA) molecules are approximately 80 nucleotides in length. Their secondary structure includes four short double-helical elements and three loops (D, anti-codon, and T loops). The record is from Rfam. Lineage: Eukaryota; Fungi; Ascomycota; Leotiomycetes; Helotiales; Sclerotiniaceae.